Molecule: ribosomal RNA, 658 nt
Filed under: uncultured bacterium
Lineage: Bacteria
Description: bacterial SSU rRNA
Rfam family: Bacterial small subunit ribosomal RNA
Source: RNAcentral
GAGUUUGAUCCUGGCUCAGAACUAACGCUUGUGGUGUGUCUUAGUCAUGCAAGUCGAACGAGAAAGUCGCCUUCGGGUGACGAGUACAGUAGCGAACGGGUGAGUAACACGUGGGCAAUCUGCCCCUAGGUUGGGGAUAACACUUCCAACGAGGUGCUAAUACCGAAUGACAAGGCGAGUUGAUGACUCGUUUUUAAAGGUGGCCUCUACUUGUAAGCUGCCGCCUAGGGAUGGGCCCGCGUCGUAUUAGCUUGUUGGUAGGGUAACGGCCUACCAAGGCGACGAUGCGUAGCCGGCCUGAGAGGGUGAACGGCCACACUGGCACUGAGAUAAGGGCCAGUCUCCUACGGGAGCCAGCAGUCUAGAAAUUUGCACAAUCGCCGAAAGGCAGAUGCAGCGACACCACGUGGAGGAUGAAGCCCCUCGGGGUGUAAACUCCUGUCAGAAGGGAAGAAGGCGUGGGCGUUAAUACCGCUCGUUGCUUGACGGUACCUUCAGAGGAAGCUCCGGCUAACUACGUGCCAGCAGCCGCGGUAAUACGUAGGGAGCGAGCGUUGUUCGGAUUUACUGGGCGUAAAGGGCACGUAGGCGGGUAUGCAAGUCGGUUGUGAAAUCCUCUGGCUCACCCAGAGAACUGCAGCCGAAACUGCACACCUUG